This 253-nucleotide ribosomal RNA is filed under the name uncultured bacterium. RNAcentral describes it as "partial 16S ribosomal RNA". It matches the Rfam family "Bacterial small subunit ribosomal RNA", at positions 524 to 776 of the family's 1533-position model. The record is from RNAcentral.
UACAGGGGGGGCAAGCGUUAUUCGGAAUUAUUGGGCGUAAAGGGCGCGUAGGCGGCUUGGCAAGUGGAUGGUGAAAUCCCUCGGCUUAACCGAGGAACGGCCGUCCAAACUGCUUCGCUUGAGACCGGGAGAGGUGAGUGGAAUUCCCAGUGUAGCGGUGAAAUGCGUAGAUAUUGGGAGGAACACCAGUGGCGAAGGCGGCUCACUGGACCGGUACUGACGCUGAGGCGCGAAAGCGUGGGGAGCAAACAGG